GACGAACGCUGGCGGCGUGCUUAACACAUGCAAGUCGAACGGUGAAGCGAGUGCUUGCACUCGUGGAUCAGUGGCGAACGGGUGAGUAACACGUGAGUAACCUGCCCAUCACUCUGGGAUAAGCACUGGAAACGGUGUCUAAUACUGGAUACGACCAACCCUUGCAUGGGGUGUUGGUGGAAAGAUUUAUCGGUGAUGGAUGGACUCGCGGCCUAUCAGCUUGUUGGCGGGGUAAUGGCCCACCAAGGCGACGACGGGUAGCCGGCCUGAGAGGGUGACCGGCCACACUGGGACUGAGACACGGCCCAGACUCCUACGGGAGGCAGCAGUGGGGAAUAUUGCACAAUGGGCGAAAGCCUGAUGCAGCGACGCCGCGUGAGGGAUGACGGCCUUCGGGUUGUAAACCUCUUUCAGCAGGGAAGGAGCGAAAGUGACGGUACCUGCAGAAGAAGCACCGGCUAACUACGUG
Molecule: ribosomal RNA, 469 nt
Filed under: uncultured bacterium
Lineage: Bacteria
Description: partial 16S ribosomal RNA
Rfam family: Bacterial small subunit ribosomal RNA
Source: RNAcentral